This 582-nucleotide ribosomal RNA is filed under the name uncultured bacterium. Its description in RNAcentral is "bacterial SSU rRNA". It matches the Rfam family "Bacterial small subunit ribosomal RNA", at positions 102 to 694 of the family's 1533-position model. The record is from RNAcentral.
ACGGCGUAGUAAUGCAUCGGAACGUACCCUCUGGUCGGGGAUAGCUACGGGAAACUGUAGGUAAUACCCGAUGAUCUCUGCGGAGCAAAGGUGAGAUUCCGCCGGAGGAGCGGCUGAUGUGAUAUUAGCUAGUUGGUGGGGUAAUGGCCCACCAAGGCGAUGAUGUCUAGGGGGUGUGAGAGCAUGGCCCCCACGACCGGAACUGAGAUACUGUCCGGACGCCUACGGGUGGCUGCAGUCGAGAAUCUUCCGCAAUGGACGAAAGUCUGACGGAGCGACGCCGCGUGCGGGAUGAAGGCCCUUGGGUUGUAAACCGCUGUCAGAGGGGAUGAAAUCUUCGGAGGUACUCCUCCGAAGUUGACAGAGCCUCAAAGGAAGCACGGGCUAAGUACGUGCCAGCAGCCGCGGUAACACGUACUGUGCGAACGUUAUUCGGAAUCACUGGGCUUAAAGGGUGCGUAGGCGGCGAAUCAAGUCAGGUGUGAAAGGCCUGAGCUCAACUGAGGCAUUGCGCUUGAAACUGAUUUGCUUGAGUAUCCCAGGGGUGUGCGGAACUGCCAGUGGAGCGGUGAAAUGUGUUGA